Long non-coding RNA from Lynx canadensis (Canada lynx), 528 nucleotides. RefSeq lists it as uncharacterized. The record is from RefSeq and is a predicted model, not a curated record. Lineage: Eukaryota; Metazoa; Chordata; Mammalia; Carnivora; Felidae. The transcript has 3 exons.
GCCAUCUGCUCUUGAAUAAAGAGGGACAUUUCUGUACCCUGCAGGCUGUAUAAGAGAUGAAGCAUGGCAUGGCAAAAGCAAGAGAAAGAUUCAUCUUCCAAGAAUGUUUCACAGUCUAUCCUUAGAGCCAUAUGGUGCUCCAAAACAAAAAGUAUUAAUGGAAGCUUACGGCUUUUCUCCAAUAUGCAGUGACUAAAUUCCUCCUCGCUCAACUUAUACCUGUAUAAUUUUAUGAAGAUAUUCUUCAAAGUUAUAGGACAGGCUGGUAAAGCUCUCAUGUGCCUCAUCUUUUCCGAGGAACUUUUCUCCAGUCCUACUUCCUGGCCACUAUAAAGACCCAAACACAGUCCCUCAGUUUUGCUCAAACCAGCCUGGAUCUGCUUGUGCCCUCCCAGUUCUCCCUGAAGCCUCUUGUAAAUUAAAACAUUCAACAUUAGUGCACUGCAGCAGAUAUAUGAAACAAAAUGUAUUUCUUCAUCUAGAAGUCCAACUUCAAUAAACGAAUAUUAUAGAAAUGACCUAAAGACA